RNAcentral lists this ribosomal RNA (439 nucleotides) under uncultured bacterium. Its description in RNAcentral is "partial 16S ribosomal RNA". It matches the Rfam family "Bacterial small subunit ribosomal RNA", at positions 338 to 795 of the family's 1533-position model. The record is from RNAcentral.
CCUACGGGGGGCUGCAGUGGGGAAUAUUGCACAAUGGGCGAAAGCCUGAUGCAGCAACGCCGCGUGAGCGAUGAAGGCCUUCGGGUUGUAAAGCUCUAUCCUCAAGGAAGAUAAUGACGGUACUUGAGGAUUAAGCCCCGGCUAACUACGUGCCAGCAGCCGCGGUAAUACGUAGGGGGCUAGCGUUAUCCGGAAUUACUGGGCGUAAAGGGGGCGUAGGUGGUUUCUUAAGUCAGAGGUGAAAGGCUACGGCUAAACCGUAGUAAGCAUUUGAAACUGGCGAACUUGAGUGCAGGAGAGGUAGGCGGAAUUCGUAGUGUAGCGGUGAAAUGCGUAGAUAUUAGGAGGAACACCAGUUGCGAAGGCGGCUUACUGGACUGUAACUGACACUGAGGCUCGAAAGCGUGGGGAGCAAACAGGAUUAGAUACCCUAGUAGUC